This 255-nucleotide ribosomal RNA is filed under the name uncultured bacterium. RNAcentral's name for it is "partial 16S ribosomal RNA". It matches the Rfam family "Bacterial small subunit ribosomal RNA", at positions 99 to 354 of the family's 1533-position model. The record is from RNAcentral.
CGGACGGGUGAGUAACGCGUGGAAAACCUGCCGUAUACUGGGGGAUAACACUUAGAAAUAGGUGCUAAUACCGCAUAAGCGCACAGCUUCGCAUGAAGCGGUGUGAAAAACUCUGGUGGUAUACGAUGGUUCCGCGUCUGAUUAGCUGGUUGGUGGGGUAAUGGCCUACCAAGGCAACGAUCAGUAGCCGGCCUGAGAGGGUGAACAGCCACAUUGGGACUGAGACACGGCCCAAACUCCUACGGGAGGCAGCAG